This 161-nucleotide ribosomal RNA is filed under the name Rhynchostomataceae sp. Its description in RNAcentral is "partial large subunit ribosomal RNA". It matches the Rfam family "Eukaryotic large subunit ribosomal RNA", at positions 99 to 261 of the family's 3401-position model. The record is from RNAcentral. Lineage: Eukaryota; Fungi; Ascomycota; Eurotiomycetes; Pyrenulales; Rhynchostomataceae.
CGGCAACAGCUCAAAUUUGAAAUCUGACCUUUGGUCUGAGUUGUAAUUUGUAGAGGAUGUUUCGGGCAACACCGUGGUUUAAAUUCCUUGGAACAGGAUAUCAUAGAGGGUGAGAAUCCCGUCUUGAACCGUCUGUGGCGUCCAUGUGAAACUCCUUCGAC